RNAcentral lists this ribosomal RNA (3508 nucleotides) under Neurospora crassa OR74A. RNAcentral describes it as "eukaryotic LSU rRNA". The stretch from base 315 to 3430 matches the Rfam family "Eukaryotic large subunit ribosomal RNA". Lineage: Eukaryota; Fungi; Ascomycota; Sordariomycetes; Sordariales; Sordariaceae. The record is from RNAcentral.
AUUAAAACUUUCAAUAACGGAUCUCUUAGUUCUAAUAUUAAUAAAGAACGUAGCGAAAUGUAAUAAGUAAUAUAAAUUAUAGAAUUUAAUAAAUUAUCGAAUCUUUAAACGUAUAUUAUAUUCGCUAAUAUUCUAAUAAAUAUAUUUAUUCAAGUAUUAUUUUAAUUAUUAAAUUUUAUUUAUAUUAAGGAUUUACGGUUAUCCACAGUCCCUUAAAAUUAAUAGUAGGCUUAUUAAUUAUAUUAAAUAUAGUAAUUCUAUAUUACUAUAGUCGUACGGCAGGUUCUUACUAUAAAACCCCCUAUUUCUAAAAUUAACCUCGGAUUAAGUAGGAAUACCCACUAAAUUUAAAUAUAUUAAUAAGCAGAGGAAAAGAAACUAAUAAGGAUUGCCCUAAUAAUAGCGAAUAAAAUAAUAAUAAUUCAAAUUUAAAAUCUAACUUUAAUUUAAAUUAUAAUUUAUAGAGGAAGCUUUUAGUAAAGCACCUUCUAAAUCCCUUAGAACGGAGCACUAUAGAAGGUAAGAACCCCGUAUAGUCGGAUACUAAUUUAAUAUAAAACUCCUUCGACGAAUCGAAUAAUUUAAAAAUAUUAUUUAAAAUAGGAGGUAAAUUUCUUCUAAAGUUAAAUACCGGCUAGAAACUAAUAAUAUACAAGUAGAAUAAUUGAAAGAUAAAAAGCACUUUAAAAAGAGAGUUAAAUAGUACGUAAAAUUAUUAAAAGGGAAGCAUUUAUAAUUAAACUUAUACUAUUCCAAUUAUCUAAUAUUCUUACUAAUAUACUCAGGAUAAUUUAAACUAAUAUCGGUUUUAACGAGGGAAUAAAAGUCUAAGGAACGUAACUCCUCCAGGAAUAUUAUAGCCCCGGGUAUAAUACCCUCGCCGGGACCGAGGUUCGCGUAUCUGUAAGGAUGCUAGCGUAAUAGUUAUUAACAACCCAUUUUAAAAUACGGAUUAAAGAAUUAAGGUUUUACGCAAGUAUUUGGGUAUAAAACCCGUACGCAUAAUAAAAGUAAAUAUAAGUAAGAGCUUCGGCGUAUUAUUAACCGAUCUUAAUAUAUUCGGAUAGAUUUGAGUAAAAGCGUUAAACUUUGGACCUAAAAGAUAGUAAACUAUACUUAAAUAGAGUAAAAUUAGAAGAAACUCUAGUAGAGGCUCAUAGCAGUUCUAACGUAUAAAUUAAUUAUUAAAUUUAAAUAUAGGGGCGAAAGAUUAAUCGAACUAUCUAAUAGCUAGUUACCGCCGAAGUUUCCCUUAGGAUAGUAGUAUUAUUCUUUAAUUUUAUAAAGUAAAGCGAAUAAUUAGGGACUCGGGGGCGCUUUUUAGCCUUUAUCUAUUCUCAAACUUUAAAUAUAUAAGAAGCCCUUAUUAUUUAAUUGAAUAUAGGUAUUCGAAUAUACUAAUACUAGUAGGCUAUUUUUAGUAAAUAGAAUUAGUAAUACGGAAUAAACCGAACGCAGGGUUAAAAUACUAGAGUAGACACUUAUUAAAUAUUAUAAAAGGCGUUAAUAUAUUUUAAUAGUAGGAUAGUGGCUAUAGAAGUCGGAAUUCGCUAAAAACUAUAUAACAACUUACCUACCGAAUAUACUAGCCUUAAAAAUAAAUAGCGCUCAAACGUCCUACUUAUACCCCGCCUUUAGGGUAGAAAUAAUACCCUAAAGAAUAAGCGGCCGUAAAGGUUAAUAACGAAGCUUAGGGCGUAAACCCGGGUCGAACGGCCUCUAGUACAAAUCUUAAUAGUAAUAAUAAAUACUUUAAUAAGAAUUUGAAGGACUAAAGUAGGGAAAGGUUCUAUAUAAAUAGCAGUUGGAUAUAAAUUAGUUAAUCCUAAACUAUAGGGAAGUUCCGUUUUAAAGGGGCACUUGUACCCCGUAUAGUAAAAGGGAAGUCGGUUAAUAUUUUAGUACUUAAAUAUAGGUUUUAUAUAGUAACGCAAUUGAACGCGGAGACAACAGCGGAGGCCCCGGGCAGAAUUCUCUUUUCUUCUUAAUAGUUUAUUACCCUAAAAAUAGUUUAUUUAAAGAUAGGGUUUAAUAGCCGGAAGAGCCCGACACUUCUAUUAGGUCCGGUACACUCUCAAUAUCCCUUAAAAAUCCGCAGAAGGGAAUAAUUUUUAUAUUAGGUCGUACUUAUAACUAUAGUAAGUCUUUAAAGUAAAUAGCUUCUAAUUAAUAGAAUAAUAUAAAUAAAGGAAGUCGGUAAAAUAAAUCUAUAAUUUCGGGAAAAGGAUUAACUCUAAAGGUUAAGUAUAUUAGGCUUUAAAUAGACGCCUUAGGAGUAGAUUACUAUUAACUAGGCAAUUAGCCGGCGGUUUUUAAUAUCCGGGUAUAAAAGCCUUUAAUAGACUUCGGUUGUCCGGUAUACGUUUAAUAAUUAAUUUAGAACUAAUAUAGAUAGGGGGAAUUUAAUUAUCUAAUUAAAAUAUAGUAUUAUAAUAAUUAGAAAGUAGUAUUAAUACAAUAUAAUUUUUAUUUAAUAUUUUAAAUAUUAAAGUAAAGAAAUUCAAUUAAGCGUAGGUAAAUGGUAAGAGUAACUAUAAUUCUUUUAAAGUAGUUAAAUACUUUAUUAUUUAAUUAAUAAUACAUAUAAAUAGAUUAACGAGAUUCCUAUUAUCCCUAUCUACUAUCUAGCGAAACUAUAGUUAAGGGAAUAGGUUUAGUAGAAUUAAUAGGGAAAGAAGACCCUAUUAAAUUUAAUUUUAAUUUAAUAUUAUAAAAAGAUAUAGGAGGUAUAGAAUAAGUAAGAGCUUCGGCGCUAGUAAAAUACUACUACUCCUAUUGUUUUUUUACUUAUUUAAUUAAGUAGGGUUAGAUUUUUGUCUAACUUCUAGUUUUAAAGUCCUUUAUAAACUAACCCAGAUUAAAGAUAUUAUUAGGUAGGGAGUUUAACUAGGGCGGUACAUCUAUUAAACUAUAAUGUAAAUAUCCUAAGGGGGGCUUAUAGAGAAUAGAAAUCUCUAGUAGAAUAAAAGGGUAAAAGUCCCUUUAAUUUUAAUUUUUAAUGUGAAUAUAAAUUAUAAAAGUAUAGCUUAUUAAUCCUUUAAUCCCUCGAAAUUUAAAAUUAGAAGUACUAGAAAAGUUACUAUAGGGAUAAUUAGUUUAUAGCGGCUAAGUGUUUAUAGCGACGUUGCUUUUUAAUUUUUUAAUAUUGGUUCUUCCUAUUAUAUUGAAGUAGAAUUUAAUAAACGUUAAAUUAUUUACCUACUAAUAAGGAACGUAAAUUAGGUUUAGACUAUUGUAAAAUAGGUUAAUUUUACCCUAUUAAUAAUUUUAUUAUAAUAGUAAUUGAAUUUAGUACGAGAGGAACUACUUAUUUAGAUAAUUGGUUUUUAUAGUUAUUUGACCGGGUAGUACUACGAUAUUACUAUUUAUUAGAUAAUAGUUGAACGCUUUUAAAUUAGAAUUUAUAUUAGAAUGCGAUAAUACUUCUAGUAUAUUAUAAAUAUAUAAGAAUAGGCUCCGGCCUUGUAUUUUAGCAAGCGAUUCUUCUAUUAGCUUUAAAGUAGCUAGC